CCCGCUGAACUUAAGCAUAUCAAUAAGCGGAGGAAAAGAAACUAACAAGGAUUCCCCUAGUAACUGCGAGUGAAGCGGGAAGAGCUCAAAUUUAAAAUCUGGCGGUCUCGCGGCCGUCCGAGUUGUAAUCUGGAGAAGCGUUUUCCGCGUCGGACCGUGUACAAGUCUUCUGGAACGGAGCGUCGUAGAGGGUGAGAAUCCCGUCUCUGACACGGACAGCCGAUGCUUCAUGUGAUACGCUCUCGAAGAGUCGAGUUGUUUGGGAAUGCAGCUCAAAAUGGGUGGUAAAUUCCAUCUAAAGCUAAAUAUUGGCGAGAGACCGAUAGCGAACAAGUACCGUGAGGGAAAGAUGAAAAGCACUUUGGAAAGAGAGUUAAACAGUACGUGAAAUUGUUAAAAGGGAAACGAUUGAAGUCAGUCGCGUCUACUUGGACUCAGCCUUACCUCGGUUUGGUGCAUUUCCUUGUGGACGGGCCAGUGUCCAUGUUGAUUGCUGGAAAAGGUUCAGGGGAAUGUGGCUCUUUUAGAGUGUUAUAGCCUCUGUUCAUAUACAGUAGUUGAUAUGGAGUGAUACAGCAUGCUUCGGCGGUGCUUGUACUGGCAUAAUGGCUUUAAACGACCCGUCUUGAAACACGG
RNAcentral lists this ribosomal RNA (636 nucleotides) under uncultured fungus. RNAcentral's name for it is "eukaryotic LSU rRNA". It matches the Rfam family "Eukaryotic large subunit ribosomal RNA", at positions 24 to 664 of the family's 3401-position model. Lineage: Eukaryota; Fungi. The record is from RNAcentral.